Molecule: ribosomal RNA, 291 nt
Filed under: uncultured bacterium
Lineage: Bacteria
Description: partial 16S ribosomal RNA
Rfam family: Bacterial small subunit ribosomal RNA
Source: RNAcentral
GUGGAUUAGAUACCCUGGUAGUCCACGCCGUAAACGAUGAGUGCUAAGUGUUAGAGGGUUUCCGCCCUUUAGUGCUGCAGCUAACGCAUUAAGCACUCCGCCUGGGGAGUACGGUCGCAAGACUGAAACUCAAAGGAAUUGACGGGGGCCCGCACAAGCGGUGGAGCAUGUGGUUUAAUUCGAAGCAACGCGAAGAACCUUACCAGGUCUUGACAUCCUCUGACAACUCUAGAGAUAGAGCGUUCCCCUUCGGGGGACAGAGUGACAGGUGGUGCACGGUCGUCGCCAACU